RNAcentral lists this ribosomal RNA (376 nucleotides) under uncultured bacterium. RNAcentral describes it as "bacterial SSU rRNA". It matches the Rfam family "Bacterial small subunit ribosomal RNA", at positions 521 to 896 of the family's 1533-position model. The record is from RNAcentral.
UAAUGCGAGGGGGGCAAGCGUUGUCCGGAUUUAUUGGGCGUAAAGAGUUCGUAGGCUGGUUGGUCAGUCGAAAUUGAAAUCCCACGGCUUAACCGUGGACCUGGUUUUGAUACUGCCAAUCUUGAGUGAGGUAGAGGUAAGCGGAAUUCCUGGUGUAGCGGUGAAAUGCGUAGAUAUCAGGAGGAACACCAAAGGCGAAGGCAGCUUACUGGACCUAUACUGACGCUGAGGAACGAAAGCGUGGGGAGCAAACAGGAUUAGAGACCCUGGUAGUCCACGCCGUAACGAUGAGUACUUGGUGGUGGGGGAAUCGACCCCUUCACUGUCGGAGCUAACGCGUUAAGUACUCCGCCUGGGAACUACGACCGCAAGGUUG